CAGUGUAUUCUUUCUUGAUGACAUGUUGCCAUUACUGGAGGAUAAAUUUUACUUUAGAAAACUCUAAGGAAACUAGAGUCAAGUGUACCCUGGACGUGAAAGCAGUGAGCCACCUCUCAACCGAAGAGGAAAUAUUUACCUUUAAUGUUAUUUGGUUUAGCCUUUUCAUCAGCUAAGAGUUGCUCUGGGUGGCCUAGAACCCAGGAUGUGUCUAAGUGCUGCAGAAUGGGGACCAAACUUUCAGCACAUGGCCUUGGUGGAGCUUUUAAGAUCUAAACCUUAGAAAUCAACAUCCAAUUAGAAGUGAAUGGUAACACUGAAUAAAAACAGAGGCUCAGAGGAAAACAGUA
Molecule: long non-coding RNA, 350 nt
Organism: Peromyscus eremicus (cactus mouse)
Lineage: Eukaryota; Metazoa; Chordata; Mammalia; Rodentia; Cricetidae
Exons: 3
Source: RefSeq, a predicted model, not a curated record